GACGAACGCUGGCGGCGUGCUUAACACAUGCAAGUCGAACGGAAAGGCCCUGCUUUUGUGGGGUGCUCGAGUGGCGAACGGGUGAGUAACACGUGAGUAACCUGCCCUUGACUUUGGGAUAACUUCAGGAAACUGGGGCUAAUACCGGAUAGGAGCUCCUGCUGCAUGGUGGGGGUUGGAAAGUUUCGGCGGUUGGGGAUGGACUCGCGGCUUAUCAGCUUGUUGGUGGGGUAGUGGCUUACCAAGGCUUUGACGGGUCGCCGGCCUGAGAGAGUGACCGGCCACAUUGGGACUGAGGUACGGCCCAGACUCCUACGGGGGGCAGCAGUGGGGAAUAUUGCACAAUGGGCGGAAGCCUGAUGCAGCAACGCCGCGUGCGGGAUGACGGCCUUCGGGUUGUAAACCGCUUUCGCCUGUGACGAAGCGUGAGUGACGGUAAUGGGUAAAGAAGCACCGGCUAACUACGUG
This 468-nucleotide ribosomal RNA is filed under the name uncultured bacterium. RNAcentral's name for it is "partial 16S ribosomal RNA". It matches the Rfam family "Bacterial small subunit ribosomal RNA", at positions 28 to 507 of the family's 1533-position model. The record is from RNAcentral.